RNAcentral lists this unclassified non-coding RNA (251 nucleotides) under Hevea brasiliensis (rubber tree). Lineage: Eukaryota; Viridiplantae; Streptophyta; Magnoliopsida; Malpighiales; Euphorbiaceae. The record is from RNAcentral.
GAAGCAAUGAUUACAAUAAUUUCAUGAUUACGUCAAACAGAAAACUGAAUCAAUUCAUAACUCAGUUGUCAGAAAUUUGCGUCAAUACUGUGAAUACUAAGAGAAGGAUAAAAUUUGAUUGUUUCAGCGUGAACCCAUUAAAAUUUAAACGAGAAAGAAGAAAAUCUUCUUAAAACCACCAGCGUCAGCAACUGGAGGAGUGUACCUGCCCUCAUAAUCAGGUCAAGGGACACGAAAAGAAGAAGGAAAAA